UACGUAGGGUGCAAGCGUUGUCCGGAAUUAUUGGGCGUAAAGAGCUCGUAGGCGGUUUGUCGCGUCUGGUGUGAAAAUCCAGGGCUUAACCCUGGACCUGCAUCGGGUACGGGCAGACUAGAGUGCGGUAGGGGAGAUCGGAAUUCCUGGUGUAGCGGUGAAAUGCGCAGAUAUCAGGAGGAACACCGGUGGCGAAGGCGGCUUUCUGGGCCUUACCUGACGCUGAGGAGCGAAAGCUGGGGGAGCGAACAGG
This 253-nucleotide ribosomal RNA is filed under the name uncultured bacterium. Its description in RNAcentral is "partial 16S ribosomal RNA". It matches the Rfam family "Bacterial small subunit ribosomal RNA", at positions 524 to 776 of the family's 1533-position model. The record is from RNAcentral.